Molecule: ribosomal RNA, 59 nt
Filed under: Peltigera occidentalis
Lineage: Eukaryota; Fungi; Ascomycota; Lecanoromycetes; Peltigerales; Peltigeraceae
Description: partial 28S ribosomal RNA
Rfam family: Eukaryotic large subunit ribosomal RNA
Source: RNAcentral
AUUGACAUCGGAUCANGUGAGGAUACCCGCUGAAUUUAAGCAUAUCAAUAAGCGGAGGA